CAUGGAGGUUGGGGGAGGGACUGGGUGACAGGAACAGUAAAACAGUUGAGCUUUAUCAGCACAGCAGUUUGAUUAUUAACAGAAUGACGUCCUUCAGACUAACUGCUUUUGGAGUUUCAAUAGAGUCUAGCACAAUCCUAAGAGAACAGACACUUGAGAGCUUCAGAGAACCUGUCAGCUUCUGGAAAAUGUGAGAAUGGGACUGGGGACUGAGAACUGAACAGAUGGAUUUCUUGUGUCCUCAGGGACAGUUGAGGAGUGGCUAAGGGACAACUCCUUUGGACACUGAGGUAAGGUGGAUCAUGAAUGGAUGUUGAUGAGUGUUGAUGAGUUGUGGGUUCAUAGAGAUAUAGUUACAGACUUCAUCAAGUGUAUAAUGAGAUAAAACAAUGUUGUGUAUUUUCUGUUGGCCAUCAGAGUCAGAGUCAGUGUGUUUAUUAUAAGUGCUCCGUACGGCGCCAUACUGGGAACAAUUAGUUUAAUUCUGUUUUUGACCACGUCCUCUCAGACAUUAUAAACUAUAGUUUAAUUCAGUUUUUGACCACGCCUUCUCAGACAUUAUAAACUAUAGUUUAAUUUAGUUUGUGACCACGUCCUCUCGGACAUUUUAAACUAUAGUUUAAUUCAGUUUUUGACCACGCCCUCUCAGACAUUAUAAACUAUAGUUUAAUUCUGUUUGUGACGACGCCCUCUCGGACAUUAUGAACUAUAGUUUAAUUCUGUUUGACCACGUCCUCUCAGACAUUAUAAACUAUAGUUUAAUUCUGUGUUUGACCACGUCCUCUCAGACAUUAUAAACUAUAGUUUAAUUCUGUUUGACCACGUCCUCUCAGACAUUAUAAACUAUAGUUUAAUUCUGUUUUUGACCACGUCCUCUCAGACAUUUUAAACUAGAUUAGUUAAUCAGUCACCUCAUCAGCCCAGUCCAAAGGUCAACUAAAGCUUUACUUUAGACGCUCCAUUUUGUUUUCAUUGGGAAGGCUGCCUUUCAGCGACAGAAAAACAAAGUAACCAAGAUAUGUUGACGAAAGAUCUCUGAAAGCGUCAGCAUGCAGCAUAAGUUUGAAUGGGUAUGACAGCACUGCAAUUAUUAAAUAUACGAAAUAAAUCAGCCAAUCUCGAGUGACGCGUCUAAAUGGUGGUGCUACAAUUAAAAUGGGAGUAGGCCUACACAGCCUUCAGAAAACUUUUUUGUAUUGACUGUCUUGAAUAAUAUUAGCAUGAAUUUUGACUAAGUCACACUCAUGCUGCAAUGAAGCAGUGAAGCAGUGAUGUUGUUGAUGACCUUGGCCUUGCAAAAUGUCCAUAUUCAUGAACCAUGGAGCAUAAACAUUUUACUCCACAUCCAUUCAAUUUACCCACUCAAUUGUGACAUCUAUUGUUAGAGGCAAACCGAUAUAUGAACACUGUCUUCAGAUACUUGGCCUGGAUUUACUUAUUUCCAAGAUUCAAUGCUACCGAGAAUGUUGCCGUAAAUGCGAAGUUCAAACAUGUAAAAGUUUGACACCAAAUGCAGAGGACAGAAUGGAUCAGCAUCAGGGCUACAGCAGCCUUCUAGUGGUAUUACAGUACUUUGGUGGACUGUAUCUUGUGUUGAUGUAUGAAAUUUACUGCAUUGGAAAUACUGCAGUAAAUACGUAGCAUAUUCAAGCCUAUAUAGUGCAGUAACACGUGCAAUUUUAGCAUAUGGCUGUAAUGAAACAUAUUGCAGCAUUUUAGAAUUAUUUAUUCACUGUAAUAUUACAAACUUUAUUACUGUAGUCCAAAGAAGUGUUUGUCUGUGUGUGAUGCAACACUACAGUAAUCUAUUCCAAACUGGAGGAUACAGCAACAUUUGAUAUAUGCAAUUGGCAAUGCUUCAAGUUGUUAGUGUUUUUUAGGUCAUUGUACUCUGAGAGAGAACAUGUGCUAAAGUUACGGCAGCAUGAGUUGUGUUUUGGUGGUUGUAGUGCAUUUUGCACCUAAGGUUAACUGAUAUGCGGAGGUGUGUGUCUGUAAAGCCCACUGUGUGAAGUGUUUUGGGAAAAGUGUUCAUGGUAUUGAGACAAGAGUUAAAAUGAUUGGAAAAAACUGUAAGGUUCAGAAACUAGGGUGACAAUGUGACUGAAUAAAUUAUUCAUUCAUUCAUUCAUUCAUUUAUUUGCCAUGGACGUUACAGCAGCAUUAGAACUGAAACAUUCAACUAUGCAUAAGCACCAGAUGCCCUGUGUUUAGUGUUUGUAGCGAAACGGCUUAUUUACAACACCUGUCCACGGGAGGCUUUUUAAAAGAAGAAAAGGAUAAGAAAGGAAAACAAGAAGAAUAAAAUAUAAUACAGGUAUACAAAUACAACCUAAUAAAAACACAGGUGUGUCUAUGCAAGGAUAUGAAGUGUGAGAACAACAUGAUUUAACACAUUGGAAACAGUGAAGUUGUGUUGUGGUUCAAAAAUGUAUUUUCGGACCAGCGUUCUCUGCCGAUCACCGCCGAUUACCGACGAUUACAGCGCUCACCAGCUUUCACACAACGCUCUUCUGGCGCUAUACCAGCGACCAUGGACGAUUAUCAACGUUUCCUCUAACGUCAUAGAACAUUGACCAGAACGUUAUGGUGUGACGGGGCCUUUAAGGUCACUUUUGUCCUCGUCGCCAAUAUUCCUGUGGUGUAU
Long non-coding RNA from Clupea harengus (Atlantic herring), 2647 nucleotides. The record is from Ensembl. Lineage: Eukaryota; Metazoa; Chordata; Actinopteri; Clupeiformes; Clupeidae.